CGCGCAACUGCUGAGCAUGCUUCGCCUGCGUGUACGACUGAAGAAGCGUUGCUGCUGAGACGCCAGGCGUGGGUGACUUAAAGACUCGGCGGUACUGCCGGUACUACCGUAGCCACAAGGUGGUGAUUUGGAAUCAACAAUGGGCCUUUUCUUUGACUGUAAACAGAAAACUGUGGGUGUGGACAUAAUGAAGCAAUUGUACCAUUGGAAAUAGUUAUGAGAGUUUGUUAUGUUUCCUGUCCCGAAGAGUAAUGCUAUAUUAAGAAGGGGUCUUAUACUGUCCAGAGCCUGGCACUUCAAGGAGUGUUUCCGGUGUAUGCUGUGUGUACUCUGCUGUUGUGUGUUGCCAGCUCUUUCCCACAGGUCAGUCCUCUGCAGAGUUCCUCCUUGCUUGCAGUGGGGAAUGUUUAGACCUUUAACUAGGUGUGCUUUGCUUUGUUUGUUAAAAUAAGCCUGAUUUAAAAAAGGGGGGGGGGGCUGAUCCAAAAAAAAAGACAAAGGAAAAGAAACAAAAAGACCAAACAGACAAAAAACUAUAAGCCUGAUUCCAAAGAAGAAAGAAAGAAAGAAAGAA
Panthera uncia (snow leopard) is the source of this 574-nucleotide long non-coding RNA. RefSeq lists it as uncharacterized. The transcript is spliced from 3 exons. Lineage: Eukaryota; Metazoa; Chordata; Mammalia; Carnivora; Felidae. The record is from RefSeq and is a predicted model, not a curated record.